AGAAUCAACGCUGGCGGCGUGCCUAACACAUGCAAGUCGAACGCGAAAGCCUCGCAAGGGGCAAGUAGAGUGGCAAACGGGUGAGUAACACGUGGGUGACCUGCCUUCGAGUGGGGGAUAACGUCCCGAAAGGGACGCUAAUACCGCAUGACAUCCUGCUUUUUAAGAGGUGGAGAUCAAAGCCGGGGACCGCAAGGCCUGGCGCUUGAAGAGGGGCCCGCGUCUGAUUAGCUAGUUGGUGGGGUAAUGGCUCACCAAGGCAUCGAUCAGU
This 271-nucleotide ribosomal RNA is filed under the name uncultured soil bacterium. RNAcentral's name for it is "partial 16S ribosomal RNA". It matches the Rfam family "Bacterial small subunit ribosomal RNA", at positions 26 to 284 of the family's 1533-position model. The record is from RNAcentral.